GUUUUGGGCAUGACAGACAAGACUUUUAUGGUUAUCCUAAUGACUCAUUUUCAAGUAAUUACGAGGGGGCAUAUUUGGGACGGGCUGAUUCUUCCGGUUGUUAUUCUGCCUCUGUUUAUGCCCAUUCAAGUUCCUUUAGCGAUUCACGGCAUAGCCAGAGUACGCAGAUUGUGCCUUGGCAGAAUAAUAAAGGAUCUUUGCGGGUUUUCCUUUUACAUGGGGAUUUGGAUAUAUGUGUUUAUGAGGCGAAGAACCUUCCAAACAUGGACAUGUUUCACAAGACACUGGGUGAUAUGUUUGCUAGAUUGCCAGGAAAUAUAGGAAGCAAGAUCGAAGGGCAAAUGAGCCGCAAGAUUACCAGCGAUCCAUACGUUUCAAUUUCAGUAGCUGGUGCUGUAAUUGGGAG
RNAcentral lists this unclassified non-coding RNA (406 nucleotides) under Hevea brasiliensis (rubber tree). Lineage: Eukaryota; Viridiplantae; Streptophyta; Magnoliopsida; Malpighiales; Euphorbiaceae. The record is from RNAcentral.